AUUGAACGCUGGCGGCAUGCCUUACACAUGCAAGUCGAACGGUAACAGGCCGCAAGGUGCUGACGAGUGGCGAACGGGUGAGUAAUGCAUCGGAACGUGCCCAGUCGUGGGGAUAACUACUCGAAAGAGUAGCUAAUACCGCAUACGAUCUAUGGGUGAAAGCGGGGGACCGUAAGGCCUCGCGCGAUUGGAGCGGCCGAUGUCAGAUUAGGUAGUUGGUGGGGUAAAGGCUCACCAAGCUAACGAUCUGUAGCUGGUCUGAGAGGACGACCAGCCACACUGGGACUGAGACACGGCCCAGACUCCUACGGGAGGCAGCAGUGGGGAAUUUUGGACAAUGGGCGCAAGCCUGAUCCAGCAAUGCCGCGUGCAGGAAGAAGGCCUUCGGGUUGUAAACUGCUUUUGUACGGAACGAAACGGCUCUGGUUAAUACCCGGGGCUAAUGACGGUACCGUAAGAAUAAGCACCGGCUAACUACGU
Molecule: ribosomal RNA, 480 nt
Filed under: uncultured bacterium
Lineage: Bacteria
Description: partial 16S ribosomal RNA
Rfam family: Bacterial small subunit ribosomal RNA
Source: RNAcentral